GCUGUAGCUUAGUUGUAGAGCACCUGCUCUGAAUGCAGAAGGACCCCAGGUUCAUUCCUAGGCAUCUCCA
Podarcis lilfordi (Lilford's wall lizard) is the source of this 70-nucleotide non-coding RNA. NCBI's taxonomy places the organism in Eukaryota, Metazoa, Chordata, Lepidosauria, Squamata, Lacertidae. The record is from the annotation of a GenBank genome assembly.